GGUGACUCAGUGGUAGAGUGCUUGCCUUGCAAGCAUGAGGCCCUGAGUUCCAUUCCUCAGCACCA
Molecule: transfer RNA, 65 nt
Filed under: Dipodomys ordii (Ord's kangaroo rat)
Lineage: Eukaryota; Metazoa; Chordata; Mammalia; Rodentia; Heteromyidae
Rfam family: tRNA
About the family: Transfer RNA (tRNA) molecules are approximately 80 nucleotides in length.
Source: Rfam by way of RNAcentral